AAUAACCAAAAAUAACACUAGGAUUUAGUGUUAAGUUAGUAAUUUUUCUAACAUCUCCUCCUCCUGGAGCCCAAGUAUCGUAUACACCACCAAAAUAAAGAGCUUUUAAUACUAAUAAAAAAGCUCCUAAACCUAAUAAAAUAAGAUGAAUUCCUAAAAUAGUAGUCAUCUUAUUUUUAUCUUUCCA
Molecule: antisense RNA, 187 nt
Filed under: Mougeotia scalaris
Lineage: Eukaryota; Viridiplantae; Streptophyta; Zygnematophyceae; Zygnematales; Zygnemataceae
Description: Antisense RNA which regulates isiA expression
Rfam family: Antisense RNA which regulates isiA expression
Source: Rfam by way of RNAcentral